This 200-nucleotide ribosomal RNA is filed under the name uncultured bacterium. Its description in RNAcentral is "partial 16S ribosomal RNA". It matches the Rfam family "Bacterial small subunit ribosomal RNA", at positions 524 to 723 of the family's 1533-position model. The record is from RNAcentral.
UACGGAGGGUCCGAGCGUUAUCCGGAAUUAUUGGGUUUAAAGGGUCCGUAGGCGGGCCGUUAAGUCAGGGGUGAAAGUCUGCGGCUCAACCGUAGAAAUGCCUUUGAUACUGGCGGUCUUGAGUUAUGGUGAAGUUGCCGGAAUAUGUAGUGUAGCGGUGAAAUGCAUAGAUAUUACAUAGAACACCGAUUGCGAAGGCA